Molecule: ribosomal RNA, 446 nt
Filed under: uncultured bacterium
Lineage: Bacteria
Description: partial 16S ribosomal RNA
Rfam family: Bacterial small subunit ribosomal RNA
Source: RNAcentral
CCUACGGGUGGCAGCAGUCGAGAAUCAUUCACAAUGGGGGAAACCCUGAUGGUGCGACGCCGCGUGGGGGAAUGAAGGUCUUCGGAUUGUAAACCCCUGUCAUGUGGGAGCAAAUUAAAAAGAUAGUACCACAAGAGGAAGAGACGGCUAACUCUGUGCCAGCAGCCGCGGGAAUACAGAGGUCUCAAGCGUUAUUCGGAAUCACGGGGCGUAAAGCGUGCGUAGGCUGUUUCGUAAGUCGUGUGUGAAAGGCGCGGGCUCAACCCGCGGACGGCACAUGAUACUGCGAGACUAGAGUAAUGGAGGGGGAACCGGAAUUCUCGGUGUAGCAGUGAAAUGCGUAGAUAUCGAGAGGAACACUCGUGGCGAAGGCGGGUUCCUGGACAUUAACUGACGCUGAGGCACGAAGGCCAGGGGAGCGAAAGGGAUUAGAUACCCGAGUAGUC